CAGGUCCCGGAUAUACUUUAUCUUUAGCAAAGCAGCAUGCAGCAAGUCACUCUGUGUGCAUUUUCUCAAGAACUAUGCGUUGUGAUAUGUUUUGCUUGAGCUCGUUUGAAUCGAGAACAGUUGCUCUAUAUAAAUAUAGUUUCAUCUUGACAUAUGGCAAACUUCUCUGGCAGGGGUUUCCAGCUGCUGUAUCCUGUGAGUCUGUUCGUUCAGAGGCAUAAAAGGGAGAUUAAACCUUUCUCCCCCUCGUGGGUCCCAGAGCCACAGAAUGUCAAAUCUCCUCUAAAGCCAAUGGCCCCUAGCAAGAAUUAGACCACCUGCAGGCUCUGUAUUGGAUUGUAACAUGUUCACAAAACCUUUUAAAUAAUGCAAGAAUAAGAUCUGUAACAAAAUGUUCCUCCUUAAAUCAGUUCAGAUGCAAACAACUGAUAGAUUAACCAUUUUAGAUCCAUUUAUUGGGUUGCAAAAAUGAACAAAGUAUAUCAUUUUUGUUAAAAGUGUUUUAAUAACAUAUAAAAAGUUUUUUUUUUAUUUGCAAUAAAAUGCAGAUGUGUGAUGAAUGUGCAAACCUCUAUUUGUUGAAGAGCGAGUCUGUAAUCUGUGUUUAAGUCUCAAGUGUAUGAGUUAUGAGGACAAAUCAACAUUAGUUUGUUUACAUGUUUUCAUAAGUAAAUAAAUAAAGUAGUCUUUGUUAAGUUGGAGAUGUUUAUUCUGGCCUAGUGCUCUCUGAUGGAAAUCUGCAGUGUCUGGAUUAUUAUGCAUAUGCCUUAACAUUGAAAAAAACAGAAAACAAUGUAAUUGUGUAACAAAUCACUCAUGAGAAAACUAUAAAGACGUCCAUGAUAGAAACACUUUUGCCAUUCUGUUUGUCAUUGUGCAUAUUCCUGUUCUUUGACCUCGAAAAUAAAACAUUUA
Carassius gibelio (silver crucian carp) is the source of this 915-nucleotide long non-coding RNA. RefSeq lists it as uncharacterized. The record is from RefSeq and is a predicted model, not a curated record. The transcript is spliced from 3 exons. NCBI's taxonomy places the organism in Eukaryota, Metazoa, Chordata, Actinopteri, Cypriniformes, Cyprinidae.